RNAcentral lists this ribosomal RNA (1357 nucleotides) under Curtobacterium sp. NA-S-SYM-1. RNAcentral's name for it is "bacterial SSU rRNA". It matches the Rfam family "Bacterial small subunit ribosomal RNA", at positions 65 to 1433 of the family's 1533-position model. Lineage: Bacteria; Bacillati; Actinomycetota; Actinomycetes; Micrococcales; Microbacteriaceae. The record is from RNAcentral.
AACGAUGAUGCCCAGCUUGCUGGGUGGAUUAGUGGCGAACGGGUGAGUAACACGUGAGUAACCUGCCCCUGACUCUGGGAUAAGCGUUGGAAACGACGUCUAAUACUGGAUAUGACUGCCGGCCGCAUGGUCUGGUGGUGGAAAGAUUUUUUGGUUGGGGAUGGACUCGCGGCCUAUCAGCUUGUUGGUGAGGUAAUGGCUCACCAAGGCGACGACGGGUAGCCGGCCUGAGAGGGUGACCGGCCACACUGGGACUGAGACACGGCCCAGACUCCUACGGGAGGCAGCAGUGGGGAAUAUUGCACAAUGGGCGAAAGCCUGAUGCAGCAACGCCGCGUGAGGGAUGACGGCCUUCGGGUUGUAAACCUCUUUUAGUAGGGAAGAAGCGUAAGUGACGGUACCUGCAGAAAAAGCACCGGCUAACUACGUGCCAGCAGCCGCGGUAAUACGUAGGGUGCAAGCGUUGUCCGGAAUUAUUGGGCGUAAAGAGCUCGUAGGCGGUUUGUCGCGUCUGCUGUGAAAUCCCGAGGCUCAACCUCGGGCUUGCAGUGGGUACGGGCAGACUAGAGUGCGGUAGGGGAGAUUGGAAUUCCUGGUGUAGCGGUGGAAUGCGCAGAUAUCAGGAGGAACACCGAUGGCGAAGGCAGAUCUCUGGGCCGUAACUGACGCUGAGGAGCGAAAGCGUGGGGAGCGAACAGGAUUAGAUACCCUGGUAGUCCACGCCGUAAACGUUGGGCGCUAGAUGUAGGGACCUUUCCACGGUUUCUGUGUCGUAGCUAACGCAUUAAGCGCCCCGCCUGGGGAGUACGGCCGCAAGGCUAAAACUCAAAGGAAUUGACGGGGGCCCGCACAAGCGGCGGAGCAUGCGGAUUAAUUCGAUGCAACGCGAAGAACCUUACCAAGGCUUGACAUACACCGGAAACGGCCAGAGAUGGUUGCCCCCUUGUGGUCGGUGUACAGGUGGUGCAUGGUUGUCGUCAGCUCGUGUCGUGAGAUGUUGGGUUAAGUCCCGCAACGAGCGCAACCCUCGUUCUAUGUUGCCAGCGCGUUAUGGCGGGGACUCAUAGGAGACUGCCGGGGUCAACUCGGAGGAAGGUGGGGAUGACGUCAAAUCAUCAUGCCCCUUAUGUCUUGGGCUUCACGCAUGCUACAAUGGCCGGUACAAAGGGCUGCGAUACCGUAAGGUGGAGCGAAUCCCAAAAAGCCGGUCUCAGUUCGGAUUGAGGUCUGCAACUCGACCUCAUGAAGUCGGAGUCGCUAGUAAUCGCAGAUCAGCAACGCUGCGGUGAAUACGUUCCCGGGCCUUGUACACACCGCCCGUCAAGUCAUGAAAGUCGGUAACACCCGAAGCCGGUGG